UAUUUUGGGGGCAUCACACUUUUGAUGGAGCCCAACAGAAUUCGGUCGGAGUAAUUGAAUUACCAAUCGAAAUUGGUCCCCAUAAAUUCUGUGUAUCUUUCCACGCACUCAAGAUAGAUUCGGGAUACAACCUGCUCUUGGGACGACCAUGGAUUCAUAUGGCAGGGGCAGUCCCCUCCACCCUUCAUCAACAGUUAAAAUACAUUAUCAAC
This 212-nucleotide long non-coding RNA is filed under the name Panax ginseng (ginseng). RNAcentral describes it as "long non-coding RNA (PGIN_LNC005905)". Lineage: Eukaryota; Viridiplantae; Streptophyta; Magnoliopsida; Apiales; Araliaceae. The record is from RNAcentral.